RNAcentral lists this ribosomal RNA (332 nucleotides) under uncultured eukaryote. Its description in RNAcentral is "partial 18S ribosomal RNA". It matches the Rfam family "Eukaryotic small subunit ribosomal RNA", at positions 1470 to 1796 of the family's 1831-position model. The record is from RNAcentral.
CCCUUAGAUGUUCUGGGCUGCACACGUGCUACACUGGCAGGUUCAGCGAGCUUCAUGCCCUGAUCUGAAAGGAAUGGGAAAUCUUUUCAAAACCUGCCGUGCUUGGGAUAGAUGUUUGCAAUUAUUCAUCUUCAACGAGGAUUGCCUUGUAAGCGCACGUCAUCAGCGUGCAUUGAAUACGACCCUGUAUUCUGUACACACCGCCCGUCGCUACUACCGAUUGAAGUUUUCGGUGAGUUGACAGGAGGAUUUUUUUGAAACUGGUUCGCCAGUGGAUUUUAGAUCCAAAUGCCAACGAAUCGAUGGCUUUAGAGGAAGGAGAAGUCGUAACA